Molecule: long non-coding RNA, 317 nt
Filed under: Elaeis guineensis (African oil palm)
Lineage: Eukaryota; Viridiplantae; Streptophyta; Magnoliopsida; Arecales; Arecaceae
Description: long non-coding RNA (EGUI_LNC000001)
Source: RNAcentral
GUAUGUAUAUGUAUAUAUAGAAUUCUAGAAUGGAAUGGGUUGGUUUAGAUCGAUCUUAACCUGAUGAUUGAUGAUCAUGAAUUUUUUUCUAUUCAAUAUCAAAUCGCAGAAAAUUCGAAUUAUGGUUUGAAAUGGAUUUACAUGAAAUCCCUAGUAUUUUCAUUUUCGACCGCUACAAGAUCAACAAUGCCAUGAACUUGGGCUUCUGUUGCUGACAUAAAAACAUCUCUUUCCAUGUCUUCGGAUACAACCCAUAAAGGAUUACCCGUUCUUUGUACAUAAACCUUUGUGAGGGUUUCGCGAAGUUUCAGUAGUUC